RNAcentral lists this ribosomal RNA (504 nucleotides) under Phoenicolacerta kulzeri (common Eurasian lizard). RNAcentral describes it as "partial 16S ribosomal RNA". It matches the Rfam family "Bacterial large subunit ribosomal RNA", at positions 1851 to 2598 of the family's 2925-position model. The record is from RNAcentral. Lineage: Eukaryota; Metazoa; Chordata; Lepidosauria; Squamata; Lacertidae.
GGUUCCGCCUGCCCAGUGACUCUUAAUAAACGGCCGCGGUAUCCUAACCGUGCAAAGGUAGCAUAAUCACUUGUCCUUUAAAUAAGGACUAGCAUGAAUGGCUAAAUGAGGACCUAACUGUCUCUUACAACUUGCCAAUGAAACUGAUUUUCCAGUACAAAAGCUGGAAUAAACUCAUAAGACGAGAAGACCCUGUGGAGCUUCAAAUCAAACCCACCAACCAUGGGCCCAAAGAUUUUUAGUUGGGGCGACUUCGGAGCAUAAAAAACCCUCCAAACAUGUAUUAUUUAAUCUCAUUAAGACUAACACACCAAAACAAUAACAUAAGACCCAGUAACAUCACAAUGUUACCUGAUAAAUGAACCAAGUUACCCCAGGGAUAACAGCGCUAUCCCCCUCUAGAGUCCCUAUCGACAGGGGGGUUUACGACCUCGAUGUUGGAUCAGGACACCCCAAUGGUGCAGACGCCAUUAAAGGUUCGUUUGUUCAACGAUCAAAGUCCUA